RNAcentral lists this unclassified non-coding RNA (403 nucleotides) under uncultured Cortinarius. RNAcentral describes it as "sequence contains ITS2". The stretch from base 1 to 146 matches the Rfam family "5.8S ribosomal RNA". Lineage: Eukaryota; Fungi; Basidiomycota; Agaricomycetes; Agaricales; Cortinariaceae. The record is from RNAcentral.
AACUUUUGACAACGGAUCACUUGGCUCUCGCAUCGAUGAAGAACGCAGCGAAAUGCGAUAAGUAAUGUGAAUUCAGUGAAUCAUCGAAUCUUUGAACGCACCUUGCGCUCCUUGGUAUUCUGAGGAGCAUGCCUGUUUGAGUGUCAUUAAUAUAUCAACCUCUACAACUUUUGUUUGUUGAGUUGUUGGAUGUGGGGGCUCUUGCUGGCUUCUUUCUGAGGUCAGCUCCCCUGAAAUACAUUAGCGGAACAAUCCCCGUUCAUUGGUGUGAUAACUAUCUACGCUAUUGACGUGAAGUAGUUUGGCUUAUAACGGUCCAUUGACUUGGACAAAUUUUCAUUAAUGUGACCUCAAAUCAGGUAGGACUACCCGCUGAACUUAAGCAUAUCAAUAAGCGGAGGCU